CCAGACGGCCGGGCGGCCGCUGCCGCGGGCGGAGCGCAUCCGCCGCGUGGUGGAGGAAAGUCCGGGCUCCACGGGAAUACGGUGCCGGCCAACGGCCGGCGGGGGCGACCCCAGGGACAGUGCCACAGAAAGCAAACCGCCCGCUCCGAUCGGCACCCGCCGGUCGUAACGGGCAAGGGUGAAAGGGUGCGGUAAGAGCGCACCGCGCCCCCGGCAACGGGGGCGGCAGGGUAAACCCCACCGGGAGCAAGACCGAAUAGGGGCGGCCGGUGCCGCGACGCUGCGGCGUCACGGGCGCCAGGGGCAUUCCCGCUCCGCCGCCCGGGUUGGUCGCGUGAGGCGCGCCGCAAGGCGCGUCCCAGAGGAAUGGCCGUCCCGCCGCUUUCCGGGCAACCGGGACGCGGCGGACAGAACCCGGCUUACAGGCCGUCUGGCGCC
This 438-nucleotide RNase P RNA is filed under the name Rhodospirillales bacterium. RNAcentral's name for it is "RNase P RNA component class A". It matches the Rfam family "Bacterial RNase P class A". Rfam says of the family: Ribonuclease P (RNase P) is a ubiquitous endoribonuclease, found in archaea, bacteria and eukarya as well as chloroplasts and mitochondria. Its best characterised activity is the generation of mature 5'-ends of tRNAs by cleaving the 5'-leader elements of precursor-tRNAs. Cellular RNase Ps are ribonucleoproteins. Lineage: Bacteria; Pseudomonadati; Pseudomonadota; Alphaproteobacteria; Rhodospirillales. The record is from RNAcentral.